UGAGUAACACGUGGGUAACCUGCCUCGAAAGAGGGGGAUAGCCUCCCGAAAGGGAGAUUAAUACCGCAUAACAUUAUUCUUCGCAUGAAGAGAUAAUCAAAGGAGUAAUCCGCUUUGAGAUGGACCCGCGGCGCAUUAGCCUAGUUGGUGAGGUAAUGGCUCACCAAGGCAACGAUGCGUAGCCGACCUGAGAGGGUGAUCGGCCACAUUGGAACUGAGAUACGGUCCAGACUCCUACGGGAGGCAGCAGUGGGGAAUAUUGCGCAAUGGGGAAACCCUGAACGCAGCAACGCCGCGUGGGUGAAGAAGGCCUUCGGGUUGUAAAGCUCUGUCUUCUGGGACGAUAAUGACGGUACCAGAGGAGGAAGCCACGGCUAACUACGUGCCAGCCGCCGC
RNAcentral lists this ribosomal RNA (396 nucleotides) under uncultured bacterium. RNAcentral's name for it is "bacterial SSU rRNA". It matches the Rfam family "Bacterial small subunit ribosomal RNA", at positions 107 to 518 of the family's 1533-position model. The record is from RNAcentral.